GGGUAUUUGGUUUAGUGGUAUGAUUCUCGCUUUGGGUGCGAGAGGUCGUGAGUGUCGUGAGUUCAAUUCUCACGACACCUC
Molecule: transfer RNA, 81 nt
Filed under: Ipomoea nil (Japanese morning glory)
Lineage: Eukaryota; Viridiplantae; Streptophyta; Magnoliopsida; Solanales; Convolvulaceae
Rfam family: tRNA
About the family: Transfer RNA (tRNA) molecules are approximately 80 nucleotides in length.
Source: Rfam by way of RNAcentral